This 864-nucleotide ribosomal RNA is filed under the name uncultured Staphylococcus sp. RNAcentral's name for it is "bacterial SSU rRNA". It matches the Rfam family "Bacterial small subunit ribosomal RNA", at positions 15 to 860 of the family's 1533-position model. Lineage: Bacteria; Bacillati; Bacillota; Bacilli; Caryophanales; Staphylococcaceae. The record is from RNAcentral.
GAUCAUGGCUCAGGAUGAACGCUGGCGGCGUGCCUAAUACAUGCAAGUCGAGCGAACGGAUAAGGAGCUUGCUCCUUUGAAGUUAGCGGCGGACGGGUGAGUAACACGUGGGUAACCUACCUAUAAGACUGGAAUAACUUCGGGAAACCGGAGCUAAUGCCGGAUAACAUUUGGAACCGCAUGGUUCUAAAGUAAAAGAUGGUUUUGCUAUCACUUAUAGAUGGACCCGCGCCGUAUUAGCUAGUUGGUAAGGUAACGGCUUACCAAGGCAACGAUACGUAGCCGACCUGAGAGGGUGAUCGGCCACACUGGAACUGAGACACGGUCCAGACUCCUACGGGAGGCAGCAGUAGGGAAUCUUCCGCAAUGGACGAAAGUCUGACGGAGCAACGCCGCGUGAGUGAUGAAGGUUUUCGGAUCGUAAAACUCUGUUAUUAGGGAAGAACAAAUGUGUAAGUAACUGUGCACAUCUUGACGGUACCUAAUCAGAAAGCCACGGCUAACUACGUGCCAGCAGCCGCGGUAAUACGUAGGUGGCAAGCGUUAUCCGGAAUUAUUGGGCGUAAAGCGCGCGUAGGCGGUUUCUUAAGUCUGAUGUGAAAGCCCACGGCUCAACCGUGGAGGGUCAUUGGAAACUGGGAAACUUGAGUACAGAAGAGGAAAGUGGAAUUCCAUGUGUAGCGGUGAAAUGCGCAGAGAUAUGGAGGAACACCAGUGGCGAAGGCGACUUUCUGGUCUGUAACUGACGCUGAUGUGCGAAAGCGUGGGGAUCAAACAGGAUUAGAUACCCUGGUAGUCCACGCCGUAAACGAUGAGUGCUAAGUGUUAGGGGGUUUCCGCCCCUUAGUGCUGCAGCUAACGCAU